Mastomys coucha (southern multimammate mouse) is the source of this 282-nucleotide long non-coding RNA. RefSeq lists it as uncharacterized. The record is from RefSeq and is a predicted model, not a curated record. The transcript has 3 exons. Lineage: Eukaryota; Metazoa; Chordata; Mammalia; Rodentia; Muridae.
CAAAGCAAAACAUGCCAAGUCCCCGUGGAGGGUCUCCAGGGAGAGCCCUGAGGCUUUAGUGAUCACAGUUAUGAAACAUUUUGACUUCGGCCAGCUUCAGUCCUGUUGGGAGAGAGACUCAAGCCUGGGUCCCUGAUGGUGAUGAUAAGGUGGUCCCCAGGGCCCUGACUGCUGGAACCUUAGAAUUGGAAUCAGUAGAAAUACUUACACCACAGAAAUUGGCAAAUGCCAUGAAGAGUGGCCUUUGUUUCUUCCCCCACCCCCACCCCAUAGAAAGGGUUU